RNAcentral lists this small nuclear RNA (102 nucleotides) under Bos indicus x Bos taurus (hybrid cattle). Lineage: Eukaryota; Metazoa; Chordata; Mammalia; Artiodactyla; Bovidae. The record is from RNAcentral.
UUGCUUGCGCCGCACAUAUACUAAAACUGGAACAAUAUAGUGGCGAUUAGUAUGGCCCUGCGCAAGGAAGACGCACAAAUUCGUGACGCGAUCCAUAUUUUA